This 3330-nucleotide long non-coding RNA is filed under the name Homo sapiens (human). RNAcentral describes it as "HSALNT0382621". Lineage: Eukaryota; Metazoa; Chordata; Mammalia; Primates; Hominidae. The record is from RNAcentral.
CUUAGUCUGUUGCCCAGGAUGGAAUGCAGUAGUGUGAUUACACCUAACUUCAGCCUGAAACUCCUGGGGUCAAGUUAUCCCCCGACCUCAUCAUCCCAAGUAAUGGGGACUACAGAGUUUAGGAUGCUUCAAGGGAAAGAUGAACCGGGGAACCGCCACCGUGACUAUUUCUCAUCUACAUAUCCACCCCCCGAAGUUCUUAAGGUGGAGCGGAAUUCAUUUUAUUUGCAAAUGUGGAAGGCAUUAUAAAAACCGUGAAUGAUGCCCCCUCCCAUGAGGGAUACAGGGAGAGCCACGUGAAGAGGAUGUUGGGCUUCUUCAAGCUGGCAGGGCACUGAGCUGACUGUCCACCACACUCACCAGGGGCCUUUGUGCAUCCCGUGGGGCAGCUCUGGGAAAGGAGGCUGGAAAAAAAAGUCCUAUGGGCCAAAUCCUCCUGAUCCUGUAUAGCCCACAACAUAAUAAUAGUUUUAUAUUUUUAAAUGGUUGGAAAAAUCAAAAGAAGAAGAAUAUUUCAUGAGGGCCAGAAAGGAUGGGCUUUCCCUUUUCCUCGUGGCAGAAACUUCCCUGACUUCAUAGCUGGGUUCCCCCUAUCCACAGUUUACAGUACAACUAUCUCCUCCAAGUUGGCCAGCAUUGCCUCUGAUACGUGAACAAGAAGUAUUUGGAGGGUUAAUAAAUACAAAUCAACACAUAUACACAUGAAGAGAAAAUGGAUGUAAUAACCAAGGACUGCCUGAUAUGCGGGAACUGAAGCUCAGAAAGGCAAAACAACUUUUCAUGCUCUUCUACCUAAUAAGUCGGAGAACCAAGAUUCAAAUUCUAAAUGCGGGUCUGAUUGAGGCCAAGCAGGUGAGCAGGCUCAAUGGGAUUCUCAGUGUUGGCCUGGCUUCCACACAAGGAAGAGGCCACUGGCAGGGGUUCCUGUCCUCAGCCAGGCUUCUAGCCUGACACUGGCUGGACAACGCAGAGUGAAGCUGGUCAUAGGGCAGGGUUUCCUGAAGCUGUGCCUGCUUCAUGAGGCUGCCUGCUGGCCCAGGCUCACCUCUCCCUCCAAAGGGCACAGUGGCUAUUUCUGGCCGUCCCAGCCUCUGGCUGUGUCUGUCUUCUUUAACCUUCCUGAGGCUCCAAAGGCCAUUAGGAAGCUGGCCGAAGCUUCAUGGCCCAAUGACAGGACUAGGAUCUUACUGGAUGGAGGAGGGGAGAGAGUGAGUCUUUAGGUCCGUGAAAUUGCUGCCAGCAUUUGGCCAGCUGUCGUCCAUCAGCCAGAGAGCUAACCAGAGCCUCCCUUGGGGCUGGUCCCUGGAGUGCCAUGGAGCAGAGGCCGUGCCAGUUCCUGGCUGGGGGCCAGAAGAAAAUCAAUAUGAGUUGGCCUGCUCCAGCAGGGCCCCCCACAUCUGGUGCCGGGAAUGACUGAUUGAAGGGACUUGUCAUAGAAUGAUGGGAGGCCACAGCUGGAAGGGAUUUGAGUGACCAUAUGGCCCAGUGGUUCGCAAACCCUUUAACACAGUGGAGAUCUUUCUUCGAAUGAAACUGCAGGCAGUAAAAACCAAUACAGAAAACUGUUAGUAGUAGAACUCACUGAGAUCCUGGGAACUCCCUGGGCCCCUGGCGGUCUGUGAAACAGCUUGGGCCAUGCUCAUCUCCUGGAACUCCCUGGUGGUGGAGAUGGAAAACAGGACAGAGGGUGAGAUUCUGACCUGUGGGGCAGAGCCAGGGCCCAGAGCCCAGGCUCUGACUUCCAGUGGGGCCCAGAAGACUGAAGCCACUCAGGGACUGUAUUAAUCCAGUCUGGCCAGGAGAGCUGCUUGUCUGUCCUGAGAUACCUAGGGGAAGCCCUGUCUGAUCACUUUCAGAUGCUGGGCAAAGGGAGGCCCUCCCUCCAGAAGGCUGCAUCAUUAGAGGUUUGAGUCAAGACCCUGGAGGAAACUGCAAGCUCAUGGAGCUGGGAGACCUGGGGUCAGCUUUGUCCUCCUAUAUAAAGGCUGAAAGUCAGGGACACUGAGGCAAGGGCUCCUUCCAGUUAUGUCCCAGAAGAAGAUAAAAGAAAAACUUCUUUGGGACUGGUGGGAAUCUUGGGAGAAAGUGGAAGGAUGAGUGGCCUCAAGCAUAUGGACUGGGUUCUCUUGUCCCAUUCUGGGAAAGUGUCAAAGGAACUGAGUGUUUGUUCGUGCCUCUAGGAGAGAAGAGGAUUUAGCCUAAGGCAGUGCCACCCACAGGAAAGGAAAGAGGGACAGUGGAGGCUCCUGGUUGGUGGGGACCAUGGUCCUUUAGGAAUGCUCUUCAGCAGUGCCUCACAGAGAAGAGCAGAUUCCUAGUGGAGCAUACACUUCAGCCAGCACCCGAGCCCCAGACUUCAUUAGUGUUCAGGUUUUACUUACUCUCACCAGUCUCUGGGUUUCAGACACAUUCUGGGCUUCAUGUGGACCCCAGACUUACUGUAUAUCCGGGCUACUUCUCACUUCAGAUGCUCUCCCCAGAACUGUUUAUUGGAUUAUUCUGAUUAUUCUCAAAGUUUUAUCCAUAUCUUGGGUUUUAUUCAAACCCACUGACCUUUAUUCAAUGCCAUAGAGUUUAUGUAGCUGAGAAUUUGUUUACUUUCAGACUCAAGACUUUAUCCUGUUCCUGCUUCAUCAAGCUAAACUCAGAGUUAAGCCUGCCAACCCUCUUCCACCUUCACCAGGUGUCAGUUCUAGCCUGUUACUUGUCUAGUUCUCAGAGGCUGUAGUGCCGUAAACCUUAUGUGUACGUUUGGCUUACCGGAAUCCAUCCUCAUUUUAACUACUUAAUCACAGGCUUUAUCACGGGCACACCUAGUUCCACUUUUACCCAGUUGCCUCUAAUGAACUAGUAGAGGGUAGUUAGUGUUCCAAGCAUGAACGCUGGAGUCAGACAGCUUUGAGUUCUGCUUAAUUUCUUCCGUGUGGCUUCGCAUAAGUAACUUAACCUCUCUGAGCUUUGCUUCCAACAUAUGUAAAUGAGAUAAUAAAGAUAAUGCAUAUAAAAUGCAUAGCACGUCGCCUAGCACAUAGUAAGCAUGUAGUCAGCUCUGGCUGUUGAUUUUAGCAUGAGCCUCACAAUGAAUAGCAUGUGGAAAUGCAGGAUUCAGGGCUAGAGCUGGACAGGUGAUGAAGGGAAAAGUAAAAAGUUGGCUAACUUUAGAAAAAGGAAAUAAGAAUUUGCUCUUUUUUUUUUCUCAGAAAAAGUUAAACAUACAGUUAGAAACUUUCAUGAACCCUCAUAGCUCAGCAGUUAGGAGACAAGUCUGAUGUGAUGGCAGAGGCUCAGUGAAAGUUGGGACAGAGGCUGGGCGUGGUGGCUCCCGCCUGU